This 253-nucleotide ribosomal RNA is filed under the name uncultured bacterium. Its description in RNAcentral is "partial 16S ribosomal RNA". It matches the Rfam family "Bacterial small subunit ribosomal RNA", at positions 524 to 776 of the family's 1533-position model. The record is from RNAcentral. RNAcentral also lists the same sequence under 1 other name.
UACGUAGGGAGCAAGCGUUGUUCGGAUUUACUGGGCGUAAAGGGCGCGUAGGCGGCGCGGUAAGUCACUUGUGAAAUCUCUGAGCUUAACUCAGAACGGCCAAGUGAUACUGCAGUGCUAGAGUGCAGAAGGGGCAAUCGGAAUUCUUGGUGUAGCGGUGAAAUGCGUAGAUAUCAAGAGGAACACCUGAGGUGAAGACGGGUUGCUGGGCUGACACUGACGCUGAGGCGCGAAAGCCAGGGGAGCAAACGGG